GUAUAUGUUGCUGAUAAUUCUGGAGGUGUUUCUUUAAGCUUAUGGGAUAGGGAGUGCUUACAACUAAUUGGGAAACCUGCUGAAGAAAUAAUAUAUGAUCCUAAUAGCAAUGAGUUGCCAAUUGAGAUAGAUGCUAUCACCAACAAAAAUGCUCUAUUUAAAAUUAAAGUUGAAGAAUCAACGAUUUUUGAUCGAGCAUAUGUUGUGACAAAAAUCAACUGCGACCCAAAUAUUUUAAAUAAAUAUUGUGGGUCAAUAGUUGAAAGUGAGACCAAGGAAACUUAAUUGAAAGACAAAGAAAUUGAAAACAUUAAGGUAUUGAUUAAAUAAAUAUUAUAUAGAUUGGUUUUGAAAUUGAAAACAAUUAUUAUAAAUAUGAAAUAUUUCAGGUUCAAAAUGAUGGUGGGAGUAGUAGCUUUACCAAUGUACAUGAAUCAGUGAACAUCAGUGACAAUGAGGCAACAAAGAGACAACUCGAAGAAGAAAUAUCAACUGACCCAAAACUCAUGAAUAAAAGAGGGAAGAGAGUUGUGAUCAAGAAGGAGAAGCCCUAAAGUAGCAUUUAGUUUUAUGAUGUUUUAGUAAUUAGUAUUUUAGGAUUUGCACUUUCAAAAUUCGUACUUUAGAAUUGUAAUUUUAAAUUUCGUUUUUAGGAUUUCAGUUUCAAAUUUAGUUGUUUAGGAUUUCAACUUUCAAAUGUCAACUUAUUAAUGUUAGUAUUUCAUAUUUCAGAAUCA
Salvia miltiorrhiza (redroot sage) is the source of this 737-nucleotide long non-coding RNA. RefSeq lists it as uncharacterized. The transcript is spliced from 2 exons. The record is from RefSeq and is a predicted model, not a curated record. NCBI's taxonomy places the organism in Eukaryota, Viridiplantae, Streptophyta, Magnoliopsida, Lamiales, Lamiaceae.